This 195-nucleotide non-coding RNA is filed under the name Kurthia massiliensis. The record is from RNAcentral. Lineage: Bacteria; Bacillati; Bacillota; Bacilli; Caryophanales; Caryophanaceae.
AGAACUGCUAUUUCGAAGUGUGGAAUGAUGGGGUAACGUCCUGAAACACACUCGCUGAAGCUACGACAUGCAAGCGGAUGACUGCAAAACUGAAACUUGUAUGAAGCUCGUUAAAGUAGGCUGAAGUUCACCCAAACAGUACGGCUGUGGAAAAGGAUAUCAAAUCCUGUGAAUGAUAGGUCUGGCGUCUAUAAA